AUUGAACGCUGGCGGCAUGCCUUACACAUGCAAGUCGAACGGCAGCACGGGAGCUUGCUCCUGGUGGCGAGUGGCGAACGGGUGAGUAAUACAUCGGAACGUACCCUGAAGUGGGGGAUAACGUAGCGAAAGUUACGCUAAAUACCGCAUAUUCUGUGAGCAGGAAAGAGGGGGAUCGCAAGACCUCUUGCUUUAGGAGCGGCCGAUGUCGGAUUAGCUAGUUGGUGAGGUGAAAGGCUUCGACCAAGGCGACGAUCCGUAGCGGGUCUGAGAGGAUGAUCCGCACACUGGGACUGAGACAC
This 302-nucleotide ribosomal RNA is filed under the name uncultured bacterium. RNAcentral's name for it is "bacterial SSU rRNA". It matches the Rfam family "Bacterial small subunit ribosomal RNA", at positions 30 to 327 of the family's 1533-position model. The record is from RNAcentral.